UACGGAGGGUGCAAGCGUUAAUCGGAAUUACUGGGCGUAAAGCGCACGCAGGCGGUCUGUCAAGUCGGAUGUGAAAUCCCCGGGCUCAACCUGGGAACUGCAUUCGAAACUGGCAGGCUAGAGUCUUGUAGAGGGGGGGUAGAAUUCCAGGUGUAGCGGUGAAAUGCGUAGAGAUCUGGAGGAAUACCGGUGGCGAAGGCGGCCCCCCUGGACAAAGACUGACGCUCAGGUGCGAAAGCGUGGGGAGCAAACAGG
Molecule: ribosomal RNA, 255 nt
Filed under: uncultured bacterium
Lineage: Bacteria
Description: partial 16S ribosomal RNA
Rfam family: Bacterial small subunit ribosomal RNA
Source: RNAcentral